CCGAAUUCUGUCACAAUUUUCCCUCUCUCUUAGGCACCAGACUGUUAUGCUUAUGGUGCUCGAGAGGCCUCCAUUCCCAAGAUAUCUUAAAACUCUGAUGCUGAAUUCUACCGCUGUCAGGCAUGGCGGAUCCUCAGCAUACUUUUCCUUACCAUGAUCCAUACGAUAGUCCCUUUAACUACGAAUAUCUCGAUUUUAUGACAGAUUCAUAUCCAACCCUUGAUAAUUUACCCUCUGGAGAUGUACCCACUUCACUUCAUCCAUCCAGCGAUAAUAUAGCGGAUCCGAAUCAUUGUUUUGAUUAUCCAAUGAUUUGGGAUACUGGUAACCAGUCUAACAGCGGGGGCCAAUCUCUAGGAGAAGGUCCGUCGCAGAGUCGCAAAAGAAGAGCGGCAGAGAAUUUGCAACCAAAUUGUCCAGACGGUGGUAGGCCUAUUUCAGUUUGGCCACCACCACCAGCGCCAUUUUGGUGCACUUGUUGCCAAGUUCUUAGGGAAAUAAUCCAUACUGACGGCAACUGCACAAAAAGAUUAGAAAUUCAUGGGAGAUUGGGCUUGAUUUGCCAUGCUAUUCUUGAGAGUAAGAACCAAGUCCAGGAUGGUUCUUCAGUAUCUCGAUACCAUAUGUUUGAUUUUUGCAAGAAAAGCAUUGACGGUGUUAAGCAAUUUCUGCAACAAUAUUGUUAUGAUCAAACGAAGGCUGGAUACGUUAUGCUUCAAGAUCCACUUUCAGUCUUCUAUGAAGCCCUGUGUGUUGGAAUCGAGUGGGAUGAAAAUCUGCAUAAUGAUGCAUCAAUAUAUUCAGGGGGGCAUCGAGCAAAUCAAACGGAAGG
Molecule: unclassified non-coding RNA, 832 nt
Filed under: Hevea brasiliensis (rubber tree)
Lineage: Eukaryota; Viridiplantae; Streptophyta; Magnoliopsida; Malpighiales; Euphorbiaceae
Source: RNAcentral